GGGGAUAUUGCUCAGUGGUAGAGCACUUGCCUACCAUGCAUGAGGCCCUGGGUUCAAAUGCCAUUAACCCCC
RNAcentral lists this transfer RNA (72 nucleotides) under Ictidomys tridecemlineatus (thirteen-lined ground squirrel). Its description in RNAcentral is "Spermophilus tridecemlineatus (thirteen-lined ground squirrel) tRNA". It matches the Rfam family "tRNA". Rfam says of the family: Transfer RNA (tRNA) molecules are approximately 80 nucleotides in length. Lineage: Eukaryota; Metazoa; Chordata; Mammalia; Rodentia; Sciuridae. The record is from Rfam by way of RNAcentral.